GGGGUAUAGCUCAGUGGUAGAGUAUUCGAAUGUAGAUCGAGAGGUCCCCAGGUGGAAAACCGGGGGUCCCCU
Non-coding RNA from Trichonephila inaurata madagascariensis, 72 nucleotides. The record is from the annotation of a GenBank genome assembly. NCBI's taxonomy places the organism in Eukaryota, Metazoa, Arthropoda, Arachnida, Araneae, Nephilidae.